RNAcentral lists this ribosomal RNA (232 nucleotides) under uncultured bacterium. RNAcentral describes it as "partial 16S ribosomal RNA". It matches the Rfam family "Bacterial small subunit ribosomal RNA", at positions 118 to 347 of the family's 1533-position model. The record is from RNAcentral.
UGAGGAACAUGACCUUCGGCGGGGGAUAGCCGGCCCAACGGCCGGGUAAUACCGCGUACGACCACAUGGGGACAUCCCUGAGUGGUGAAAGCAGCAAUGCGCCGAUGGAGUGCCUCGCGGCCUAUCAGCUAGUUGGUGAGGUAACGGCUCACCAAGGCGACGACGGGUAGCUGGUCUGAGAGGAUGGCCAGCCACAUUGGGACUGAGACACGGCCCAGACCUCUACGGGAGG